Molecule: ribosomal RNA, 410 nt
Filed under: uncultured Actinomycetes bacterium
Lineage: Bacteria; Bacillati; Actinomycetota; Actinomycetes
Description: uncultured actinobacterium partial 16S ribosomal RNA
Rfam family: Bacterial small subunit ribosomal RNA
Source: RNAcentral
AAGGCCCCUUCGGGGGUGCUCGAGCGGCGAACGGGUGAGUAACACGUGAGUGACCUGCCCUCCACUCUGGGAUAACCCUCGGAAACGGGGGCUAAUACCGGAUAUGACCUGCUGCUGCAUGGUGGUGGGUGGAAAGGCUUUUGCCGGUGGGGGAUGGGCUCGCGGCCUAUCAGCUUGUUGGUGGGGUAAUGGCCUACCAAGGCGGUGACGGGUAGCCGGCCUGAGAGGGCGACCGGCCACACUGGGACUGAGACACGGCCCAGACUCCUACGGGAGGCAGCAGUGGGGAAUAUUGCGCAAUGGGCGGAAGCCUGACGCAGCGACGCCGCGUGGGGGAUGAAGGCCUUCGGGUUGUAAACCUCUUUCGACCUUGACGAAGCUGCCGGUUUUUGCCGGUGGUGACGGUAGGG